Molecule: long non-coding RNA, 1214 nt
Filed under: Salmo salar (Atlantic salmon)
Lineage: Eukaryota; Metazoa; Chordata; Actinopteri; Salmoniformes; Salmonidae
Description: lncRNA (ENSSSAG00000114159.1)
Source: RNAcentral
GUAGAAGCGGCAGGUAGAAGCGGCGGGUAGCAGUGGUAGGGUAGCAGCGGUAGAGUAGCAGUGGUAGGGUAGCAGUGGUAGGGUAGAAACGGCAGGUAGAAGCGGUAGGGUAGGAGCAGCGGUAGGUAGAAGCGGUUGGUAGCAGUGGUAGGGUAGCAGCAGCGGUAGGGUAGAGGCAGCAGUAGGUAGCAGCAGUAGGGUAGCAGCAGUAGGUAGCAGCGGCAGGUAGCAGCGGUAGGGUAGAAGCGGCAGGUAGCAGCGGCAGGUAGAAGCGGUAGGGUAGUAGCGUUAGGGUAGCAGCGCCAGGUAGAAGUGGUAGGGUAGAAGCAGCGGUUGGUAGCAGUGGUAGGGUAGCAGCGAUAGGGUAGCAGAAGUAGGUAGCAGCAGUAGGGUAGCAGAGGUAGGGUAGAAGCGGCAGUAGGUAGCAGCAGUAGGGUAGGAGCGAUAUGGUAGCAGGGGUAAGGUAGCAGCAGUAGGUAGCAGCAGUAAGGUAGCAGCAGUAGGGUAGAAGCAGUAGAUAGCAGCAGUAGGGUAGAGGCAGUAGGGUAGGAGCAGUAGGGUAGAAGAAGUAGGGUAUCAGCAGUAGGGUAGCAGGAGUAGGUAGCAGCAGUAGGGUAGCAGAAGUAGGGUAGCAGCAGUAGGGUAGAGGAAGUAGGGUAGCAGCAGUCAGUAGGUAGAAGUGGUAGGUAGCAGCAGUAGAUAGCAGCAGUAGGUAGCAGCUGUAGGUAGCAGGGGUAGGGUAGCAGCGGUAGGUUUCAGCGGUUGGUAGCAGCGGUAGGGUAGCAGCAGUAGGGUAGAAGCAGUUGGUAGCAGUGAUAGGGUAGUAGGGUAGGUAGCAGCAGUAGGGUACAAGCAGUUGGUAGCAGUGAUAGGGUAGCAGCAGUAGAUAGCAGCAGUAGGUAGCAGCGGUAGGGUAGCAGCGGUAGGGUAGAAGCAGUAGGGUAGCAGCUGUAGGUAGCAGCAGUAAAUAGCAGCAGUAGGGUAGCAGCAGUAGGGUAGAGCGGUAGGGUAGAAGCGGUAGGGUAGCAGCGGUAGGUAGCAGCGGUAGGGUAGCAGCGGUAGGGUAGUAGCAGUAGGGUAGCAGAAGUAGGGUAGCAGCAGUAGGGUAGAAGCAGUAGGGUAGAAGCAGUAGGUAGCAGCAGUAGGUAGCAGCAGUAGGGUAGCAGAAGUAGGGUAGCAGCAGUAGGGUAGCAGCAGUAGGUAGCAGCAGUAGG